This is a long non-coding RNA of Macadamia integrifolia, 348 nucleotides long. RefSeq lists it as uncharacterized. The record is from RefSeq and is a predicted model, not a curated record. NCBI's taxonomy places the organism in Eukaryota, Viridiplantae, Streptophyta, Magnoliopsida, Proteales, Proteaceae. The transcript has 2 exons.
ACUAGUUAAUAACCUCUAAUUACCUUAACAUGAUACAAAACAUUUUUAAGGACAAUAUCAUGCAAGUAUAAUAAAACCUAAGUUUUUUUGGGAUGAAAAAUAUGGAAUUGAGAAGGUAGAUAGACAUUGUACAUUAGGAAACGUUGCAAAAUGGAAUCUGGAAAUCUCAACAGGUUUUAAACCAUUUCAUUUCUGUCCGAGCUAAAGUGGCGAAGAGCUCUGGCCUGAUUCAUGACGCAAUGGAUAUACUACAAAUGGAGAAGGAAGAUGGGAAACCAGGAAAACAAAAAAUAGAACCCUUCAACUCCUCUUCCAGGAUCUACACGUACAGCAACAAAACAUCCCCCC